Molecule: ribosomal RNA, 397 nt
Filed under: uncultured bacterium
Lineage: Bacteria
Description: bacterial SSU rRNA
Rfam family: Bacterial small subunit ribosomal RNA
Source: RNAcentral
UAUUGCACAAUGGGGGAAACCCUGAUGCAGCGACGCCGCGUGAGUGAAGAAGUAUUUCGGUAUGUAAAGCACUAUCAGCAGGGAAGAAAAUGACGGUACCUGAUUAAGAAGCUCCGGCUAUCUACGUGCCAGCAGCCGCGGUAAUACGUAGGGGGCAAGCGUUAUCCGGAUUUACUGGGUGUAAAGGGAGCGUAGACGGCAGCACAAGUCUGGAGUGAAAUGCCGGGGCUUAACCCCGGAACUGCUUUGGAAACUGUGCAGCUAGAGUGCAGGAGAGGUAAGUGGAAUUCCUAGUGUAGCGGUGAAAUGCGUAGAUAUUAGGAGGAACACCAGUGGCGAAGGCGGCUUACUGGACUGUAACUGACGCUGAUGCUCGAAAGUGUGGGUAUCAAACAGG